UCAUGAUGAACGCUAGCUACAGGCUUAACACAUGCAAGUCGAGGGGCAGCAUGGUCUUAGCUUGCUAAGGCCGAUGGCGACCGGCGCACGGGUGAGUAACACGUAUCCAACCUGCCGUCUACUCUUGGACAGCCUUCUGAAAGGAAGAUUAAUACAAGAUGGCAUCAUGAGUCCGCAUGUUCACAUGAUUAAAGGUAUUCCGGUAGACGAUGGGGAUGCGUUCCAUUAGAUAGUAGGCGGAGUAACGGCCCACCUAGUCUUCGAUGGAUAGGGGUUCUGAGAGGAAGGUCCCCCACAUUGGAACUGAGACACGGUCCAAACUCCUACGGGAGGCAGCAGUGAGGAAUAUUGGUCAAUGGGCGCAGGCCUGAACCAGCCAAGUAGCGUGAAGGAUGACUGCCCUAUGGGUUGUAAACUUCUUUUAUAAAGGAAUAAAGUCGGGUAUGGAUACCCGUUUGCAUGUACUUUAUGAAUAAGGAUCGGCUAACUCCGUGCCAGCAGCCGCGGUAAUACGGAGGAUCCGAGCGUUAUCCGGAUUUAUUGGGUUUAAAGGGAGCGUAGAUGGAUGUUUAAGUCAGUUGUGAAAGUUUGCAGCUCAACCGUAAAAUUGCAGUUGAUACUGGAUAUCUUGAGUGCAGUUGAGGCAGGCGGAAUUCGUGGUGUAGCGGUGAAAUGCUUAGAUAUCACGAAGAACUCCGAUUGCGAAGGCAGCCUGCUAAGCUGCAACUGACAUUGAGGCUCGAAAGUGUGGGUAUCAAACAGGAUUAGAUACCCUGGUAGUCCACACGGUAAACGAUGAAUACUCGCUGUUUGCGAUAUACAGCAAGCGGCCAAGCGAAAGCGUUAAGUAUUCCACCUGGGGAGUACGCCGGCAACGGUGAAACUCAAAGGAAUUGACGGGGGCCCGCACAAGCGGAGGAACAUGUGGUUUAAUUCGAUGAUGCGCGAGGAACCUUACCCGGGCUUAAAUUGCAGAUGAAUUACGGUGAAAGCCGUAAGCCGCAAGGCAUCUGUGAAGGUGCUGCAUGGUUGUCGUCAGCUCGUGCCGUGAGGUGUCGGCUUAAGUGCCAUAACGAGCGCAACCCUUGUUGUCAGUUACUAACAGGUUCCGCUGAGGACUCUGACAAGACUGCCAUCGUAAGAUGUGAGGAAGGUGGGGAUGACGUCAAAUCAGCACGGCCCUUACGUCCGGGGCUACACACGUGUUACAAUGGGGGGUACAGAGGGCCGCUACCACGCGAGUGGAUGCCAAUCCCCAAAACCUCUCUCAGUUCGGACUGGAGUCUGCAACCCGACUCCACGAAGCUGGAUUCGCUAGUAAUCGCGCAUCAGCCACGGCGCGGUGAAUACGUUCCCGGGCCUUGUACACACCGCCCGUCAAGCCAUGGGAGCCGGGGGUACCUGAAGUGCGUAACCGCGAGGAGCGCCCUAGGGUAAAAC
This 1440-nucleotide ribosomal RNA is filed under the name uncultured organism. RNAcentral's name for it is "SSU rRNA". It matches the Rfam family "Bacterial small subunit ribosomal RNA". The record is from RNAcentral.